Molecule: non-coding RNA, 107 nt
Filed under: Symbiobacterium thermophilum
Lineage: Bacteria; Bacillati; Bacillota; Clostridia; Eubacteriales; Symbiobacteriaceae
Description: SAM-I sequence
Rfam family: SAM riboswitch aptamer (S box leader)
About the family: The SAM riboswitch is found upstream of a number of genes which code for proteins involved in methionine or cysteine biosynthesis in Gram-positive bacteria.
Source: RNAcentral
GGUUCAUCGAGAGUGGCGGAGGGACUGGCCCCAUGAUGCCACGGCAACCUCUCCCGCAGGGGAGAACGGUGCCAAAUCCAGCGGACACUCGGUCCGAGAGAUGAAGC